Molecule: long non-coding RNA, 633 nt
Organism: Homo sapiens (human)
Lineage: Eukaryota; Metazoa; Chordata; Mammalia; Primates; Hominidae
Exons: 4
Source: RefSeq, a predicted model, not a curated record
UAGUGCAUUUGGAGAGCUGUAAAUAGUUCGGUAAAUAGUUCAGCAGGUGUAGCUGAAACUGGCCAGGUGAAUUUGAUCAGAAUCUCUGAGAGCAGGUUACAGGAAUCUGUGUUUGAUAAGAAGUUUCCCAGGAGAUUCUGAGGCUGACUUCCCACAGGCCUAAAGUCUGGAAACCCAUUGCUGUACCUGACAUUCUGCACAAUUCUCUCUAAUCUGAACCACAACCCAGCAAGAUAGAGGUUAUUUGUCCUUAUUUUACACAGCAGAAAGCCAAGACUCAGAGAGGUAAAGCGACUUGCCCAGGAUCACACAGCUAAGGUGGGCAGGAUGGUGGCCUCACCUGAUGCAGUGCACACCUCCAACAGGCAUCAGAUGGAAUGCACUGGGAGCAAGAUUCUCAUAGCAAUGACAAAGAUCCCCAACACCGUCCACCACGCAGCCCAUUUGCCUCUGGACGCGUGGCCUUGAGCCUGGCCCCUCGAGUUUAUCCCAGCGCUUGGUGACGAGACCCCACAUACUGCACAGGAGGACAGGCAGAGGGUCAGCCAGAGCGUGGGAUGUGGAAGUGCCACCUCCCUUUGCAGGCUGUGUGUCUUCGGGGUCUGGCUCUGUUGCCCAGGCUGGAGUGCAGUG